UUGCUUCGGCAGCAUAUAUACUAAAAUUGGAACGGUACAGAGAAGAUUAGCACGGCCCCUGUGCAAGGAUGACACGCAAAUUCGUGAAGCGUUCCAUAUUUUU
This is a small nuclear RNA of Heterocephalus glaber (naked mole-rat), 103 nucleotides long. NCBI's taxonomy places the organism in Eukaryota, Metazoa, Chordata, Mammalia, Rodentia, Bathyergidae. The record is from Ensembl.